Molecule: non-coding RNA, 108 nt
Organism: Malassezia japonica
Lineage: Eukaryota; Fungi; Basidiomycota; Malasseziomycetes; Malasseziales; Malasseziaceae
Source: the annotation of a RefSeq genome assembly
GGCAAGAUGGCCGAGUGGUCUAAGGCGCUGUGUUCAGGCUCUUUCGAGAUACCUUGACAACCAAAUCGCAGUCUCCCUGAGGCGUGGGUUCGAAUCCCACUCUUGUCA